GUGCUCGCUUCAGCAGCACAUAUACUAAAAUUGGAAUGAUACAGAGAAGAUUAGCACGGCCCCUGCGCAAAGAUAACAUGCAAAUUUGUGAAGCGUUCCAUAUUUUU
Small nuclear RNA from Erinaceus europaeus (western European hedgehog), 107 nucleotides. NCBI's taxonomy places the organism in Eukaryota, Metazoa, Chordata, Mammalia, Eulipotyphla, Erinaceidae. The record is from Ensembl.